Molecule: ribosomal RNA, 253 nt
Filed under: uncultured bacterium
Lineage: Bacteria
Description: partial 16S ribosomal RNA
Rfam family: Bacterial small subunit ribosomal RNA
Source: RNAcentral
UACAGAGGUCUCAACCGUUGUUCGGAUUCAUUGGGCGUAAAGCGUGCGCAGGCGGUCGUGCAAGACAGAUGUGAAAUCCCCGGGCUUAACCUGGGAACUGCAUUUGUGACUGCACGGCUGGAGUGCGGCAGAGGGGGAUGGAAUUCCGCAUGUAGCAGUGAAAUGCGUAGAUAUGCGGAGGAACACCGAUGGCGAAGGCAAUCCCCUGGGCCUGCACUGACGCUCAUGCACGAAAGCGUGGGGAGCAAACAGG